AUGUUUAGUCAAAAGGGCUGUCUCAAAGAUUAAGCCAUGCAUGUCUAAGUAUAAGCAAUUAUACAGCGAAACUGCGAAUGGCUCAUUAUAUAAGUUAUCGUUUAUUUGAUAGUACCUUACCUACAUGGAUAACCGUGGUAAUUCUAGAGCUAACACAUGCUAAAAAUCCCAACUUCGGAAGGGAUGUAUUUAUUAGAUUAAAAACCAAUGCCCUCUGGGCUCUCUGGUGAUUCAUGAUAACUCUUCGAAUCGCAUGGCCUUGCGCUGGCCAUGGUUCAUUCAAAUUUCUUCCCUAUCAACUUUCGAUGUUUGGGUAUUGGCCAAACAUGGUUGCAACGGGUAACGGAGGGUUAGGGUUCAAUCCCGGAAAGGGACCCUGAGAAACGGCUACUACAUCCAAGGAAGGCAGCAGGCGCGCAAAUUACCCAAUCCCGACACGGGGAGGUAGUGACAAUAAAUACUGAUACAGGGCUCUUUCGGGUCUUGUAAUUGGAAUGAGUACAAUUUAAAUCCCUUAACGAGAACAAAUUGGAGGGCAAGUCUGGGGGGCCAACACCAAA
RNAcentral lists this ribosomal RNA (560 nucleotides) under uncultured Phyllachora. RNAcentral's name for it is "bacterial SSU rRNA". It matches the Rfam family "Eukaryotic small subunit ribosomal RNA", at positions 33 to 582 of the family's 1831-position model. Lineage: Eukaryota; Fungi; Ascomycota; Sordariomycetes; Phyllachorales; Phyllachoraceae. The record is from RNAcentral.